GACCGCUUAGCUCAGUGGUAGAGCGCUUCGUUCACAUCGAAGAGGCCAGGGGUUCGAAACCCUUAGCGGUCA
Molecule: transfer RNA, 72 nt
Filed under: Candidatus Woesebacteria bacterium
Lineage: Bacteria; Candidatus Woeseibacteriota
Description: tRNA-Val
Rfam family: tRNA
About the family: Transfer RNA (tRNA) molecules are approximately 80 nucleotides in length. Their secondary structure includes four short double-helical elements and three loops (D, anti-codon, and T loops).
Source: RNAcentral